RNAcentral lists this ribosomal RNA (549 nucleotides) under Neolucanus maximus. Its description in RNAcentral is "partial 16S ribosomal RNA". It matches the Rfam family "Bacterial large subunit ribosomal RNA", at positions 1798 to 2619 of the family's 2925-position model. Lineage: Eukaryota; Metazoa; Arthropoda; Insecta; Coleoptera; Lucanidae. The record is from RNAcentral.
GCCUGUUUAUCAAAAACAUGGCCUUUUGUUAAUAAUAUAAGGUCUGACCUGCUCUAUGAUUAAUUAAAUGGCUGCGGUAUUUUGACCGUGCAAAGGUAGCAUAAUCAUUAGUUUUUUUAUUGGAAGCUGGUAUGAAUGGUUGGACAAGAAAGUAUCUGUCUCUAGAUAAUUUUAUUUGAAUUUUAUUUUUUAGUGAAAAGGCUAAAAUGGUUGUGAGGGACGAGAAGACCCUAUAGAAUUUUAUAGAAUUAUUAUGAUGGAAUUUUUGGGAUGUUUUAUUUAGUUGUAAUGAUUUUAUUUUGUUGGGGUGAUGGAAAAAUUUGAUUAACUUUUUUUUUUGUUGUGCAUUGAUUUAUGUUUAUUUGAUCCAUUUUUUAUGAUUAUAAGAUUUAAUUACCUUAGGGAUAACAGCGUAAUUAGUUUGGAGAGUUCUUAUCGAUAAACUAGUUUGCGACCUCGAUGUUGGAUUAAAAUUAAUUAUUGGUGUAGGAGCUAAUAAAUUGAGUCUGUUCGACUUUUAAAAUUUUACAUGAUCUGAGUUCAGACCGG